GACUUGAAUCAGUAUAAAACUCCUGAAGCCUGUAAUAAGCCUUAUUACUCCCAAACCCAUGACUAGACCCAAUUUCAAAGCCCAACAUGCAAAACAAAAUAAAAUAAAAUAAAAUAUCAGAAAUUAAUUUGGGUCAACUCAACCUGAUAACUAUCAGAAAUCCACAACUAGAGAAGCCUAGCUCAAUCCUAAUACCCAGCAUGCAGAAACCAUUUAAUACCAUUAAUUUUCAUUAAACAAAUAGAUAAAUAAAUAAUUAAUU
This 262-nucleotide unclassified non-coding RNA is filed under the name Hevea brasiliensis (rubber tree). Lineage: Eukaryota; Viridiplantae; Streptophyta; Magnoliopsida; Malpighiales; Euphorbiaceae. The record is from RNAcentral.